UGGCUCGAGGACGAACGCUGGCGGCGUGCUUAACACAUGCAAGUCGAACGGUAAGGCCCUUCGGGGUACACGAGUGGCGAACGGGUGAGUAACACGUGGGUGAUCUGCCCUGCACUUCGGGAUAAGCCUGGGAAACUGGGUCUAAUACCGGAUAGGACCAUGGACUUCACGGUUUGUGGUGGAAAGCUUUUGCGGUGUGGGAUGGGCCCGCGGCCUAUCAGCUUGUUGGUGGGGUAAUGGCCUACCAAGGCGACGACGGGUAGCCGGCCUGAGAGGGUGUCCGGCCACACUGGGACUGAGAUACGGCCCAGACUCCUACGGGAGGCAGCAGUGGGGAAUAUUGCACAAUGGGCGCAAGCCUGAUGCAGCGACGCCGCGUGAGGGAUGACGGCCUUCGGGUUGUAAACCUCUUUCAAUAGGGACGAAGCGCAAGUGACGGUACCUAUAGAAGAAGCACCGGCCAACUACGUG
Molecule: ribosomal RNA, 471 nt
Filed under: uncultured bacterium
Lineage: Bacteria
Description: bacterial SSU rRNA
Rfam family: Bacterial small subunit ribosomal RNA
Source: RNAcentral